AAAUAAAUCAAUUUAAAAAUUAAUUUAUUCGAUUUGAAUAUAUAAAAUUACUAUUCGGUUCCAUUCGAUUUAAUCGAUUUUUUUUCUUUAAAACUGAACCGAAUCGAAAUAAUCAAAAUUUUUAUGAUAUAAAACCUAAUCGCACCAAGUGAAUUUUAAAAUCAAACCGAUUGAAUCAAAUUAAUUCGAUUCGAUUUUUCAAUUUGAACCGAAAUUUGCUCACCCUCUAGCUGCAUGUAUGCUCUAG
RNAcentral lists this unclassified non-coding RNA (247 nucleotides) under Hevea brasiliensis (rubber tree). The record is from RNAcentral. Lineage: Eukaryota; Viridiplantae; Streptophyta; Magnoliopsida; Malpighiales; Euphorbiaceae.